This 254-nucleotide ribosomal RNA is filed under the name uncultured bacterium. RNAcentral describes it as "partial 16S ribosomal RNA". It matches the Rfam family "Bacterial small subunit ribosomal RNA", at positions 524 to 776 of the family's 1533-position model. The record is from RNAcentral.
UACGUAGGGGGCAAGCGUUGUCCGGAUUUAUUGGGCGUAAAGAGCUCGUAGGUGGUUCGGUAAGUCGGAUGUGAAAUCUCCAGGCUCAACCUGGAGGGGUCAUUCGAUACUGCCGUGACUAGAGGUCGGUAGGGGAGUGUGGAAUUCCUGGUGGAGCGGUGAAAUGCGCAGAUAUCAGGAGGAACACCCGUAGCGAAGGCGGGUCUCUGGGCCGUAACUGACGCUGAGGAGCGAAAGCGUGGGGAGCGAACAGG